GAUGAUUUUAGUGCUUGCACUAAAUGAAACUAGAUACAAGCGAGCGGCGGACGGGUGAGUAACACGUGGGUAACCUGCCCAAGAGACUGGGAUAACACCUGGAAACAGAUGCUAAUACCGGAUAACAACACUAGACGCAUGUCUAGAGUUUGAAAGAUGGUUCUGCUAUCACUCUUGGAUGGACCUGCGGUGCAUUAGCUAGUUGGUAAGGUAAUGGCUUACCAAGGCGAUGAUACAUAGCCGAGUUGAGAGACUGAUCGGCCACAUUGGGACUGAGACACGGCCCAAACUCCUACGGGAGGCAGCAGUAGGGAAUCUUCCACAAUGGACGAAAGUCUGAUGGAGCAACGCCGCGUGAGUGAAGAAGGGUUUCGGCUCGUAAAGCUCUGUUGGUAGUGAAGAAAGAUAGAGGUAGUAACUGGCCUUUAUUUGACGGUAAUUACUUAGAAAGUCACGGCUAACUACGUGCCAGCAGCCGCGGUAAUACGUAGGUGGCAAGCGUUGUCCGGAUUUAUUGGGCGUAAAGCGAGUGCAGGCGGUUCAAUAAGUCUGAUGUGAAAGCCUUCGGCUCAACCGGAGAAUUGCAUCAGAAACUGUUGAACUUGAGUGCAGAAGAGGAGAGUGGAACUCCAUGCGUAGCGGUGGAAUGCGUAGAUAUAUGGAAGAACACCAGUGGCGAAGGCGGCUCUCU
RNAcentral lists this ribosomal RNA (691 nucleotides) under uncultured Bacilli bacterium. RNAcentral describes it as "bacterial SSU rRNA". It matches the Rfam family "Bacterial small subunit ribosomal RNA", at positions 66 to 730 of the family's 1533-position model. The record is from RNAcentral. Lineage: Bacteria; Bacillati; Bacillota; Bacilli.